This 421-nucleotide ribosomal RNA is filed under the name uncultured bacterium. Its description in RNAcentral is "bacterial SSU rRNA". It matches the Rfam family "Bacterial small subunit ribosomal RNA", at positions 8 to 436 of the family's 1533-position model. The record is from RNAcentral.
AGAGUUUGAUCCUGGCUCAGAAUGAACGUUGGCGGCGUGGAUUAGGCAUGCAAGUCGAGCGAGAACCCGCAAGGGGGACAGCGGCGAACGGGGUAGUAAGGCGUAGGUGACGUGCCCUUAGGACCGGAAUAGCCACGGGAAACUGUGGGUAAUGCCGGAUAAUCUCUGGAUUUCAUUUUCUAGAGCAAUGGGUGUGAUUCCGCCUUUGGAGCGGCUUACGUGGUAUUAGCUAGUUGGUGAGGUAAUGGCUCACCAAGGCGACGAUGCCUAGGGGGUGUGAGAGCAUGGCCCCCACCACUGGGACUGAGAUACUGCCCAGACACCUACGGGUGGCUGCAGUCGAGAAUCUUCGGCAAUGGACGAAAGUCUGACCGAGCGACGCCGCGUGCGGGAUGAAGGCCUUCGGGUUGUAAACCGCUGU